AGAGUUUGAUCCUGGCUCAGGACGAACGCUGGCGGCGUGCCUAACACAUGCAAGUCGAGCGCGCAGCCAUCGGUAGCAAUACCGGUGGUGGGCGAGCGGCGAACGGGUGCGUAACACGUGGGCAACCUGCCCCAGACUCUGGGAUAACCCCGGGAAACCGGGGCUAAUACCGGAUACUCUCGGCCGGCCGCAUGAUCGGCCGAGGAAAGCUCCGACGGUCUGGGAUGGGCCCGCGGCCUAUCAGCUUGUUGGUGGGGUAACGGCCUACCAAGGCGACGACGGGUAGCUGGUCUGAGAGGACGGCCAGCCACACUGGGACUGAGAUACGGCCCAGACUCCCACGGGAGGCAGCAGUGGGGAAUCUUGCGCAAUGGGCGAAAGCCUGACGCAGCGACGCCGCGUGAGGGAUGAAGGCCUUCGGGUUGUAAACCUCUUUCGGCAGGGACGAAGCGAAAGUGACGGUACCUGCAGAAGAAGCCCCGGCUAACUACGUGCCAGCAGCCGCGGUA
RNAcentral lists this ribosomal RNA (509 nucleotides) under uncultured Actinomycetes bacterium. RNAcentral's name for it is "bacterial SSU rRNA". It matches the Rfam family "Bacterial small subunit ribosomal RNA", at positions 8 to 522 of the family's 1533-position model. The record is from RNAcentral. Lineage: Bacteria; Bacillati; Actinomycetota; Actinomycetes.